Long non-coding RNA from Carassius carassius (crucian carp), 808 nucleotides. RefSeq lists it as uncharacterized. The transcript has 4 exons. NCBI's taxonomy places the organism in Eukaryota, Metazoa, Chordata, Actinopteri, Cypriniformes, Cyprinidae. The record is from RefSeq and is a predicted model, not a curated record.
CUAAUGGAGCUCACAUUCUCUCUACAACGUCGCCAUAUAAAUACAGUUCCACCACCUGACAUUGAAGAUUUGAAAAGCAAAUGGCCUUUUCUUUUCACGCCAAGGUAUAUAUACGCACAUUUUGAGUUGCUCACAGACAUCAAUGUGCUUCGUAGCUUGGAACUCAGCAUGGAGGAAUGUGGAACAGCCAUCACAGAAUACUUCAGGGGAAAACCUACCAACAGAAAUGUCAAGGAUAUCCUCUCUAAUGGUGAAGAUAAUGAGAUGGCACUUCGUGUUGUUCAGCUGCUCAUGGCACACUUUGGAGAGGACAUAACUGGGCUGAUCCUUCUUACAGAUGUGUCUGCCACUGCAGCUGACGUUGAGACAACUCUCAGUCUUCCUGCAAUUCCUCGCCUGAUAUUGCCUGUUUCAGGUGCAACAGGGCAAGUCACAAUUAAGGGUUGGAUGAUCACCUUUGAGGGACGUGUAAUCUCUGAGGGCAUCACACCAACUUUGCAAUGGGACUUACUGCUAUGUUUGCAAUCUACUACAUAUUGAACCUUCAGUAUCAAGAAGAGGCAGCCUGCACUCUGGAAUUCAUUCAGAGUGGAAGUACUGGAAUAAUGCUGCACAGAGGAACAGUAACUACCAAAGUGAUGAUCAUCUCUCCUGGAUCAACAACUGAGAUGUAAAAACACAAGCCUACCUCACAGGACAAUUUUAAGAGGUAACCUGCAAGUCUAGCUUGCAGUGGCACAGUAGCCUACCUUACAGUUUCAUCCCUAAAUGUUUUUAUUGAUGCAUAUUAUUGAUUCAUCCUGCUAAA